CCUACGGGAGGCAGCAGUGAGGAAUAUUGGUCAAUGGCCGGAAGGCUGAACCAGCCAUGCCGCGUGAAGGGCAGGGCCCUAAGGGCGUUAAACUUCUUUUGUGCGGGAGCAAGAAUGGUCACGUGGGGCCAGACGAGAGUACCGUACGAAUAAGCAGCGGCUAACUCCGGGCCAGCAGCCGCGGUAAUACGGGGGAUGCAAGCGUUCUCCGGAUUUAUGGGGUUUAAAGGGGGCGUAGGCUGUGAGGUAAGUCAGCGGUGAACUGCCCCCGCUCAACGGGGUGAAGUGCCAUUGAUACGGCCUUGCUGGACUGCGGAUGCCGUGGGAGGAAUGUGUGGUGUAGCGGU
This 347-nucleotide ribosomal RNA is filed under the name uncultured bacterium. RNAcentral describes it as "partial 16S ribosomal RNA". It matches the Rfam family "Bacterial small subunit ribosomal RNA", at positions 338 to 682 of the family's 1533-position model. The record is from RNAcentral.